This 348-nucleotide unclassified non-coding RNA is filed under the name soil metagenome. Its description in RNAcentral is "partial contains 5.8S ribosomal RNA, internal transcribed spacer 2, and large subunit ribosomal RNA". The stretch from base 1 to 120 matches the Rfam family "5.8S ribosomal RNA", at positions 35 to 154 of the family's 154-position model. The record is from RNAcentral.
GAUGAAGAACGUAGCAAAAUGCGAUAAGUAAUGUGAAUUGCAGAAUUCAGUGAAUCAUCGAAUCUUUGAACGCACAUUGCGCCCGCUGGUAUUCCGGCGGGCAUGCCUGUUCGAGCGUCAUUUCAACCCUCAAGCCCCCGGGUUUGGUGUUGGGGAUCGGCUCUGCCCUUCUGGGCGGUGCCGCCCCCGAAAUACAUUGGCGGUCUCGCUGCAGCCUCCAUUGCGUACUAGCUAACACCUCGCAACUGGAACGCGGCGCGGCCAUGCCGUAAAACCCCAACUUCUGAAUGUUGACCUCGGAUCAGGUAGGAAUACCCGCUGAACUUAAGCAUAUCAAUAAGCGGAGGA